AUUGAACGCUGGCGGCAGGCCUAACACAUGCCAGUCGAGCGGAUGAAGGGAGCUUGCUCCUGGAUUCAGCGGCGGACGGGUGAGUAAUUCCUAGGAAUCUGCCUGGUAGUGGGGGAUAACGUCCGUAAACGGGCGCUAAUACCGCAUACGUCCUGAGGGAGAAAGUGGGGGAUCUUCGGACCUCACGCUAUCAGAUGAGCCUAGGUCGGAUUAGCUAGUUGGUGGGGUAAAGGCCUACCAAGGCGACGAUCCGUAACUGGUCUGAGUGGAUGAUCAGUCACACUGGAACUGAGACACGGUCCAGACUCCUACGGGAGGCAGCAGUGGGGAAUAUUGGACAAUGGGCGAAAGCCUGAUCCAGCCAUGCCGGGUGUGUGAAGAAGGUCUUCGGAUUGUAAAGCACUUUAAGUUGGGAGGAAGGGCAGUAAGUUAAUACCUUGCUGUUUUGACGUUACCAACAGAAUAAGCCCCGGCUAACUUCGUG
Molecule: ribosomal RNA, 484 nt
Filed under: uncultured bacterium
Lineage: Bacteria
Description: partial 16S ribosomal RNA
Rfam family: Bacterial small subunit ribosomal RNA
Source: RNAcentral